GACGAACGCUGGCGGCGUGCCUAAUACAUGCAAGUCGAGCGAAUCGAUGGGAGCUUGCUCCCAUUGAUUAGCGGCGGACGGGUGAGUAACACGUGGGUAACCUGCCUGUAAGACUGGGAUAACUUCGGGAAACCGGAGCUAAUACCGGAUAGUUUCUUUCUCGCAUGAGAGAAUAUGGAAAGAUGGUUUCGGCUAUCACUUACAGAUGGACCCGCGGCGCAUUAGCUAGUUGGUGAGGUAAUGGCUCACCAAGGCAACGAUGCGUAGCCGACCUGAGAGGGUGAUCGGCCACACUGGGACUGAGACACGGCCCAGACACCUACGGGUGGCUG
Molecule: ribosomal RNA, 332 nt
Filed under: uncultured Bacillota bacterium
Lineage: Bacteria; Bacillati; Bacillota
Description: bacterial SSU rRNA
Rfam family: Bacterial small subunit ribosomal RNA
Source: RNAcentral